GAAAAGAACCCCGGGAGGGGAGUGAAAUAGAACCUGAAACCCUGCACUUACAAGCUGUGGAAGCACAUUUCUUGUGUGACCGCGUACUUUUUGUAGAACGGGCCAACGAGUUACGUUAAGUAGCAAGGUUAAGCACUUAAGGUGCGGAGCCGUAGCGAAAGCGAGUUUUAACUGAGCGUUCAGUUACUUGACGUAGACCCGAAACCGGGCGACCUACCCAUGAGCAGGAUGAAGCGAAAGUAAAAUUUCGUGGAGGUCCGAACCCACGAGCGUUGAAAAGCUCGGGGAUGACUUGUGGGUAGCGGUGAAAUUCCAAUCGAGCCCGGAGAUAGCUGGUUCUCCCCGAAAUAGCUUUAGGGCUAGCCUCAAGGUGAGAGAUACGGAGGUAGAGCACUGAAUGUCCUAGGGGGUAUUGCACCUACCGAAGACUAUCAAACUCCGAAUGCCGUCAUCUUAUACUUGGGAGUCAGACUGUGGGUGAUAAGAUUCAUAGUCGAAAGGGCAACAGCCCAGAUCGUCAGCUAAGGUCCCUAAAUGUAAGUUAAGUGGUAAAGGAUGUGGGAUUGCACAGACAACCAGGAUGUUGGCUUAGAAGCAGCCACUCAUUCAAAGAGUGCGUAAUAGCUCACUGGUCGAGUGAUCCUGCGCCGAAGAUUUCCGGGGCUAAAACUUACUACCGAAGCUACGGCAUCAGUAAUGAUGGGUAGGGGAGCUUCCCAUACGGGUUGAAGCAUGACCGUAAGGACAUGUGGACAGUAUGGGAGUGAGAAUGUUGGCAUGAGUAGCGAGAUGUGGGUGAGAAUCCCACAGGCCGUAAACCCAAGGUUUCCAGGGGAAGGUUCGUCCGCCCUGGGUUAGUCGGGACCUAAGCUGAGGCCGAAAGGCGUAGGUGAUGGACAACAGGUUGAUAUUCCUGUACUACCGAUAACCGUUUGAGAGAAGGGAUGACACAGUAGGAUAAGCUAAGCACACUGUUGGUUAUGUGUGCCCAAGCAUUGAGGCAGUCAAAGUAGGCAAAUCCGCUUUGAUAAUGCUGGGAUGUGAUGGGGAGCGAAAUUUAGUAGCGAAGUAGCUGAUUUCACACUGUCAAGAAAAGUCUCUAUCGAGGUUAAAGGUACCCGUACCGCAAACCGACACAGGUGGGUGAGGAGAGUAUCCUAAGGCCAGCGAGAGAACUGUUGUUAAGGAACUCGGCAAAAUGACCCCGUAACUUAGGGAUAAGGGGUGCCACCAUCAGGUGGCCGCAGAGAAUAGGCCCAAGCGACUGUUUACCAAAAACAUAGGUUUCUGCUAAGUCGCAAGACGAUGUAUAGGAGCUGACGCCUGCCCGGUGCUGGAAGGUUAAGGGGAUCUGUUAGAGCAAUCGAAGCAGUGAACUUAAGCCCCAGUAAACGGCGGCCGUAACUAUAACGGUCCUAAGGUAGCGAAAUUCCUUGUCGGGUAAGUUCCGACCCGCACGAAAGGCGUAACGAUUUGGGCACUGUCUCAACAACAGACUCGGUGAAAUUGUAAUUCCGGUGAAGAUGCCGGAUACCUGCGACAGGACGGAAAGACCCCAUGGAGCUUUACUGUAGCUUGACAUUGGGUCUUGGUACUACAUGUACAGGAUAGGUGGGAGGCUUUGAAACCAGGACGCCAGUUUUGGCGGAGCCAUCCUUGGGAUACC
This 1666-nucleotide ribosomal RNA is filed under the name Clostridioides difficile. RNAcentral describes it as "partial 23S ribosomal RNA". It matches the Rfam family "Bacterial large subunit ribosomal RNA", at positions 516 to 2201 of the family's 2925-position model. The record is from RNAcentral. Lineage: Bacteria; Bacillati; Bacillota; Clostridia; Peptostreptococcales; Peptostreptococcaceae.